GGGCAAGUUGGGGCAAGGAGCAGCGUGAAUACGAAGGGGGGAUGGGUUGUUCGGAUUUACUGGGAGUAAAGGGCGUGUAGGCGGGCGGGAAAGUGGGGGGUGAAAUCCCGAGGCUCAACCUCGGAACUGCCUCCAAAACUUCCAGCCUGGAGCAAGAUAGAGGCAAGUGGAAUUGCGAGUGUAGAGGUGAAUUCGUAGAUAUUCGCAGGAACACCAGUGGCGAAGGCGACUUGCUGGAUCUUUGCUGACGCUGAGACGCGAAAGCGUGGGGAGCAAACAGGAUUAGAUACCCCGGUAGUC
Molecule: ribosomal RNA, 300 nt
Filed under: uncultured Halalkalicoccus sp.
Lineage: Archaea; Methanobacteriati; Methanobacteriota; Halobacteria; Halobacteriales; Halalkalicoccaceae
Description: bacterial SSU rRNA
Rfam family: Bacterial small subunit ribosomal RNA
Source: RNAcentral